UGUGAAAGAGGCCUGUGGGGCUCAAGAAGUU
Molecule: non-coding RNA, 31 nt
Filed under: Macaca fascicularis (crab-eating macaque)
Lineage: Eukaryota; Metazoa; Chordata; Mammalia; Primates; Cercopithecidae
Also listed under: 1 other name
Source: RNAcentral